This 61-nucleotide non-coding RNA is filed under the name human gut metagenome. The record is from RNAcentral.
ACAACGAACUAUGAGAAGUCAGCAGAAGUCAUAGUACUAGAAGAUAACUUCUAGGAAGGAC